This 137-nucleotide ribosomal RNA is filed under the name uncultured bacterium. RNAcentral's name for it is "partial 16S ribosomal RNA". It matches the Rfam family "Bacterial small subunit ribosomal RNA", at positions 395 to 524 of the family's 1533-position model. The record is from RNAcentral.
UGCCGCGUGUCUGAAGAAGGCCUUCGGGUUGUAAAGGACUUUUGUCAGGGAGGAAAACCUGCGUGUUAAUAGCGUGCGGGGAUGACAGCACCUGAAGAAUAAGCACCGGCUAACUACGUGCCAGCAGCCGCGGUAAU